RNAcentral lists this ribosomal RNA (883 nucleotides) under bacterium enrichment culture clone aHCH4_H8. Its description in RNAcentral is "bacterial SSU rRNA". It matches the Rfam family "Bacterial small subunit ribosomal RNA", at positions 46 to 924 of the family's 1533-position model. The record is from RNAcentral.
GCCUUAACAUGCAGUCGAACGGCAGCACGGGCUUCGGCCUGGUGGCGAGUGGCGAACGGGUGAGUAAUACAUCGGAACGUGCCCUGACGUGGGGGAUAACUAGUCGAAAGAUUAGCUAAUACCGCAUACGACCUGAGGGUGAAAGCGGGGGACCGGUAACGGCCUCGCGCGACAGGAGCGGCCGAUGUCUGAUUAGCUAGUUGGUGGGGUAAGAGCCUACCAAGGCGACGAUCAGUAGCUGGUCUGAGAGGACGAUCAGCCACACUGGGACUGAGACACGGCCCAGACUCCUACGGGAGGCAGCAGUGGGGAAUUUUGGACAAUGGGGGCAACCCUGAUCCAGCAAUGCCGCGUGUGUGAAGAAGGCCUUCGGGUUGUAAAGCACUUUUGUCCGGAAAGAAAUGGCGCUGGUUAAUACCCGGCGUCGAUGACGGUACCGGAAGAAUAAGCACCGGCUAACUACGUGCCAGCAGCCGCGGUAAUACGUAGGGUGCGAGCGUUAAUCGGAAUUACUGGGCGUAAAGCGUGCGCAGGCGGUUUGAUAAGACAGGCGUGAAAUCCCCGAGCUCAACUUGGGAAUGGCGCUUGUGACUGUCAGGCUAGAGUAUGUCAGAGGGGGGUAGAAUUCCACGUGUAGCAGUGAAAUGCGUAGAGAUGUGGAGGAAUACCGAUGGCGAAGGCAGCCCCCUGGGACGUCACUGACGCUCAUGCACGAAAGCGGUGGGGAGCAAACAGGAUUAGAUACCCUGGUAGUCCACGCCCUAACGAUGUCAACUAGUUGUUGGGGGAUUCACUUCUUCAGUAACGUAGCUAACGCGUGAAGUUGACCGCCUGGGGAGUACGGUCGCAAGAUUAAAACUCAAAGGAAUUGACGGGGACCCGC